Myodes glareolus (Bank vole) is the source of this 1182-nucleotide non-coding RNA. The record is from RefSeq and is a predicted model, not a curated record. Lineage: Eukaryota; Metazoa; Chordata; Mammalia; Rodentia; Cricetidae.
AUGGCAGCAGCUGAGGUGGUGAACAGCAUCAGGGAGGUUUCCUGUGGUCAACCAGAAAGCCGUGAGAAGCCCAAUGCUGAGGCCAUGACGUCCAAAGACCACUACUUUGAGUCCUAUGCCCACUUUGGCAUCCAUGAGGAGAUGCAGAAGGAUGAGGUGCCCACCGUUACAUACAGCAACUCCAUCUUUCACAAUCAGCACCUCUUCAACGACAGGAUAGUCUGGACCUGGGCUCAGGCACCGGCAUCCUCUGCAUGUUUGCAGCCAAGGCAGAAGCCCGCAAGGUCAUUCAUUCAUUCUCAACAUUCAUUGAGACUGAAUGUUCAAGAAUCUCUCAUUAUGCUGUGAAGAUUGUCAAAGCCAAUAAGCUAGAUCACAUGGUGACCAUCAUCAAGGCAAGGUGGAGAAGGUGGAACUGCCCAUGGAGAAAGUGAACAUCAUCAUCAGAGAGUGGAUGGGUUAUUGUCUCUUCUACAAGUUCAUGCUCAAGACUGUGCUGUAUGCCCAUGACAAGUGGCUGGCACCUAAUAGCCUCAUCUUUCCAGUCCGGGCCACCCUUUAUGUGACAGUCAUUGAGGACCGAUAGUACAAAGACUACAUGAUCCAUUAAUAGGAGAAUGUAUAUGGUUUCGAUAGGUCCUGCAUCAAAGACGUGGCCAUCAAGGAGCCCUUGGUGGACGUGGUGGACCUGAAGCAGCUGGUCACUAAUGCCUGCCUCAUAAAGGAGUUGGCCAUUUAUACAGUCAUGGUAGAGGACCUGACCUUCACCUCUCCCUUCUGCCUACAAGUGAAGAGAAAUGACUAUGUGCAUGCAUUGGUGGCCUCCUUUAACACCGAGUUCACCCAAUGCCACAAGAAGAAUGGCUUUUCUAUUGGUCCUGAGUCCCCAUAUACACACUGGAAGCAGACUGUGUUUUACAUGGAGGAUUACCUAACAGUGAAGACUGGCGAGGAGAUCUUUGGCAUCCCCCAAUGCAAAAAAUAAUCGUGACUUGGACUUUACCAUCGACCUGGACUUCAAGGGCCAGCUAUGUGAGCUCUCUUGCUCCACCGUCUACCAGAUGCUCUGAGGUGGUGCCAGGCUGGCCCUCCUGCAAAAGGGGGCUUAGGGACUGGGAUUAUGGGAUGGGAGGGUACAUCAUGACUGUGUUUUCCAUAACUUAUGUUUUUAUAUGGUUGUAU